UACGGAGGGUGCAAGCGUUAUCCGGAUUCACUGGGUUUAAAGGGUGCGUAGGCGGGUUGGUAAGUCCGUGGUGAAAUCCCCAAGCUUAACUUGGGAACUGCCGUGGAUACUAUCAAUCUUGAAUAUCGUGGAGGUAAGCGGAAUAUGUCAUGUAGCGGUGAAAUGCUUAGAUAUGACAUAGAACACCAAUUGCGUAGGCAGCUUGCUACACGAAUAUUGACACUGAGGCACGAAAGCGUGGGGAUCAAACAGG
Molecule: ribosomal RNA, 253 nt
Filed under: uncultured bacterium
Lineage: Bacteria
Description: partial 16S ribosomal RNA
Rfam family: Bacterial small subunit ribosomal RNA
Source: RNAcentral